AGAAAGUGGCAGAGUGGUUAUGCUGGUGGCUUGAAACCGCCUUAUGGGGGUUCAAUUCCUUCCUUUCUC
Molecule: transfer RNA, 69 nt
Filed under: Trachyrhamphus serratus
Lineage: Eukaryota; Metazoa; Chordata; Actinopteri; Syngnathiformes; Syngnathidae
Description: tRNA-Ser
Rfam family: tRNA
About the family: Transfer RNA (tRNA) molecules are approximately 80 nucleotides in length. Their secondary structure includes four short double-helical elements and three loops (D, anti-codon, and T loops).
Source: RNAcentral